This 253-nucleotide ribosomal RNA is filed under the name uncultured bacterium. RNAcentral's name for it is "partial 16S ribosomal RNA". It matches the Rfam family "Bacterial small subunit ribosomal RNA", at positions 524 to 776 of the family's 1533-position model. The record is from RNAcentral.
UACGUAGGGGGCUAGCGUUGUCCGGAUUUAUUGGGCGUAAAGAGCGUGUAGGCGGCCAGGUAGGUCUGCUGUGAAAACUCGAGGCUCAACCUCGAGACGUCGGCGGAAACCAUCUGGCUAGAGUCCGGAAGAGGAGAGUGGAAUUCCUGGUGUAGCGGUGAAAUGCGCAGAUAUCAGGAAGAACACCCGUGGCGAAGGCGGGACUCUGGGCCGAUACUGACGCUGAGGAGCGAAAGCGUGGGGAGCGAACAGG